This 465-nucleotide ribosomal RNA is filed under the name uncultured bacterium. Its description in RNAcentral is "partial 16S ribosomal RNA". It matches the Rfam family "Bacterial small subunit ribosomal RNA", at positions 28 to 507 of the family's 1533-position model. The record is from RNAcentral.
GACGAACGCUGGCGGCGUGCUUAACACAUGCAAGUCGAACGGAAAGGCCCCUUUGGGGGUCCUCGAGUGGCGAACGGGUGAGUAACACGUGAGUAACCUGCCCUUGACUUCGGGAUAACUUCAGGAAACUGGGGCUAAUACCGGAUAGGAAUCCUUGCUGCAUGGUGGGGGUUGGAAAGCUUCGGCGGUUUUGGAUGGACUCGCGGCUUAUCAGCUUGUUGGUGGGGUAGUGGCUUACCAAGGCUUUGACGGGUAGCCGGCCUGAGAGGGCGACCGGCCACAUUGGGACUGAGAUACGGCCCAGACUCCUACGGGAGGCAGCAGUGGGGAAUAUUGCACAAUGGGCGGAAGCCUGAUGCAGCAACGCCGCGUGCGGGAUGACGGCUUUCGGGUUGUAAACCGCUUUCAGCAGGGGCGAAGCUUGUGGUGACGGUACCUGCAGAAGAAGCACCGGCUAACUACGUG